RNAcentral lists this ribosomal RNA (1522 nucleotides) under metagenome. RNAcentral describes it as "bacterial SSU rRNA". It matches the Rfam family "Bacterial small subunit ribosomal RNA". The record is from RNAcentral.
AGAGUUUGAUCAUGGCUCAGAUUGAACGCUGGCGGCAGGCCUAACACAUGCAAGUCGAACGGUAACAGGAAGAAGCUUGCUUCUUUGCUGACGAGUGGCGGACGGGUGAGUAAUGUCUGGGAAACUGCCUGAUGGAGGGGGAUAACUACUGGAAACGGUAGCUAAUACCGCAUAACGUCGCAAGACCAAAGAGGGGGACCUUCGGGCCUCUUGCCAUCGGAUGUGCCCAGAUGGGAUUAGCUAGUAGGUGGGGUAACGGCUCACCUAGGCGACGAUCCCUAGCUGGUCUGAGAGGAUGACCAGCCACACUGGAACUGAGACACGGUCCAGACUCCUACGGGAGGCAGCAGUGGGGAAUAUUGCACAAUGGGCGCAAGCCUGAUGCAGCCAUGCCGCGUGUAUGAAGAAGGCCUUCGGGUUGUAAAGUACUUUCAGCGGGGAGGAAGGGAGUAAAGUUAAUACCUUUGCUCAUUGACGUUACCCGCAGAAGAAGCACCGGUUAACUCCGUGCCAGCAGCCGCGGUAAUACGGAGGGUGCAAGCGUUAAUCGGAACUACUGGGCGUAAAGCGCACGCAGGCGGUUUGUUAAGUCAGAUGUGAAAUCCCCGGGCUCAACCUGGGAACUGCAUCUGAUACUGGCAAGCUUGAGUCUCGUAGAGGGGGGUAGAAUUCCAGGUGUAGCGGUGAAAUGCGUAGAGAUCUGGAGGAAUACCGGUGGCGAAGGCGGCCCCCUGGACGAAGACUGACGCUCAGGUGCGAAAGCGUGGGGAGCAAACAGGAUUAGAUACCCUGGUAGUCCACGCCGUAAACGAUGUCGACUUGGAGGUUGUGCCCUUGAGGCGUGGCUUCCGGAGCUAACGCGUUAAGUCGACCGCCUGGGGAGUACGGCCGCAAGGUUAAAACUCAAAUGAAUUGACGGGGGCCCGCACAAGCGGUGGAGCAUGUGGUUUAAUUCGAUGCAACGCGAAGAACCUUACCUGGUCUUGACAUCCACGGAAGUUUUCAGAGAUGAGAAUGUGCCUUCGGGAACCGUGAGACAGGUGCUGCAUGGCUGUCGUCAGCUCGUGUUGUGAAAUGUUGGGUUAAGUCCCGCAACGAGCGCAACCCUUAUCCUUUGUUGCCAGCGGUCCGGCCGGGAACUCAAAGGAGACUGCCAGUGAUAAACUGGAGGAAGGUGGGGAUGACGUCAAGACAUCAUGGCCCUUACGACCAGGGCUACACACGUGCUACAAUGGCGCAUACAAAGAGAAGCGACCUCGCGAGAGCAAGCGGACCUCAUAAAGUGCGUCGUAGUCCGGAUUGGAGUCUGCAACUCGACUCCAUGAAGUCGGAAUCGCUAGUAAUCGUGGAUCAGAAUGCCACGGUGAAUACGUUCCCGGGCCUUGUACACACCGCCCGUCACACCAUGGGAGUGGGUUGCAAAAGAAGUAGGUAGCUUAACCUUCGGGAGGGCGCUUACCACUUUGUGAUUCAUGACUGGGGUGAAGUCGGAACAAGGUAACCGUAGGGGAACCUGCGGUUG